GCAUAAUCAUUUGCCCCCUAAUUAGGGGCUAGCAUGAACGGAUAAACGAGAUUAUGACUGUCUCCUUUAUACCUAUAAAAAUUAAUCUACAGGUGAAGAAGCCUGUUUUUAUAUAAAAGACAAGAAGACCCUGCUGAGCUUUAAUUAUUUAUAAAAUUCAUCAAUACCUAUCAAAUAAUUCCUCUUAUAAAUAAUUUUUGUUGGGGCGACAAUGGAGCACACAAACCCUCCACCAUACCCAAAACACCAAGUUUCCCAAAAGAUCCUCUAUAGAUAUUAGGCACUAGCUACCACAGGGAUAACAGACUAAUCUUCCUUAAGAGCCCAAAUCUACAGGAAGGCUUGG
RNAcentral lists this ribosomal RNA (346 nucleotides) under Palola environmental sample. Its description in RNAcentral is "partial 16S ribosomal RNA". It matches the Rfam family "Bacterial large subunit ribosomal RNA", at positions 1959 to 2521 of the family's 2925-position model. The record is from RNAcentral. Lineage: Eukaryota; Metazoa; Annelida; Polychaeta; Eunicida; Eunicidae.